CAGUACGUGCGUACUCUUUUGCCACACACUCCAAAAGUAUGUCCUUCGCAAUCCAAGCGUCUGCAUGCUGUUUGUUGACAGGAAGGUGUCGUGUCUCUGUGUCUCUGUUGCUAAGUGCCCCGAGGGGGUUGGAUGGCCCUCCUUUUCUGGACACUGGCCAAGCCCUACAGCACAUCUGGGGAAACCCUGGACCUACCUUGGCCAGGUUAAGAUGUGGUGAGCGUGAAGGUCAUAGUCUAUGAUUUUCAUCCUCAUGAGUGAGCCCUCAUACCCUGUGGAUGGGGGCGGAGUCAUCCUGGAAGAGACCACGCCCAUCGGGAUAGGAAUAUUCCAUCACGGGAUAUAAGAUUUUGUAAUUGACUUGCAGAGAAACUUACCUCUAAGAGCACGAGUGAAGCCAAACCACACCGACUGAAUGAAUACAUUUCCUCGCACGGCUACUUGUUUUUCUGUAUGUCAAGAAAUUGCAUCUAAAUAUAAAAUAUACUAUAAACACAGUAUCAUAGCUGUUAGUUGUCACAAAUGUGGACUUGUGCUUUGACCUCCAAGACUUUCAUUCUGUUUUAAUAGCCUCGGAGCAGAUAAAUCACUUUUGUCAUUAUCAACACAAUCAAUCUUCUCCCGGCUCCAAAGGUUAUAAGUAAUAGACCUUGCAUUGUGUAAUUGAAUAAUUAAUACGUUAACCUUAUUAAGAAAUGAAUGGAAGGACAAAUUUGCUUUGCCUUUUCUAAACCUGCCACUAAUGACCAAUGAGAACUCUCGAGGUAAUUAUAUUCAUCAUAAUUAGUGCAUAGUAAUGAGCGAUUAGCAUGCAGUAGCGGAUAAAAGGAGCACUUUGCUCCUAAUUGCCGAACAUGAGCUGCGACUCAUAACCUCCAUUGACUUUAAUUGUCUGUAAUUGGC
Molecule: long non-coding RNA, 903 nt
Organism: Ictalurus punctatus (channel catfish)
Lineage: Eukaryota; Metazoa; Chordata; Actinopteri; Siluriformes; Ictaluridae
Source: Ensembl